UGCAAGUCGAGCGGGGGAAGGUAGCUUGCUACCGGACCUAGCGGCGGACGGGUGAGUAAUGCUUAGGAAUCUGCCUAUUAGUGGGGGACAACAUCUCGAAAGGGAUGCUAAUACCGCAUACGUCCUACGGGAGAAAGCAGGGGAUCUUCGGACCUUGCGCUAAUAGAUGAGCCUAAGUCGGAUUAGCUAGUUGGUGGGGUAAAGGCCUACCAAGGCGACGAUCUGUAGCGGGUCUGAGAGGAUGAUCCGCCACACUGGGACUGAGACACGGCCCAGACUCCUACGGGAGGCAGCAGUGGGGAAUAUUGGACAAUGGGCGCAAGCCUGAUCCAGCCAUGCCGCGUGUGUGAAGAAGGCCUUAUGGUUGUAAAGCACUUUAAGCGAGGAGGAGGCUACUUUAGAUAAUACCUAGAGAUAGUGGACGUUACUCGCAGAAUAAGCACCGGCUAACUCUGUGCCAGCAGCCGCGGUAAUACAGAGGGUGCAAGCGUUAAUCGGAUUUACUGGGCGUAAAGCGCGCGUAGGCGGCUAAUUAAGUCAAAUGUGAAAUCCCCGAGCUUAACUUGGGAAUUGCAUUCGAUACUGGUUAGCUAGAGUGUGGGAGAGGAUGGUAGAAUUCCAGGUGUAGCGGUGAAAUGCGUAGAGAUCUGGAGGAAUACCGAUGGCGAAGGCAGCCAUCUGGCCUAACACUGACGCUGAGGUGCGAAAGCAUGGGGAGCAAACAGGAUUAGAUACCCUGGUAGUCCAUGCCGUAAACGAUGUCUACUAGCCGUUGGGGCCUUUGAGGCUUUAGUGGCGCAGCUAACGCGAUAAGUAGACCGCCUGGGGAGUACGGUCGCAAGACUAAAACUCAAAUGAAUUGACGGGGGCCCGCACAAGCGGUGGAGCAUGUGGUUUAAUUCGAUGCAACGCGAAGAACCUUACCUGGCCUUGACAUAGUAAGAACUUUCCAGAGAUGGAUUGGUGCCUUCGGGAACUUACAUACAGGUGCUGCAUGGCUGUCGUCAGCUCG
RNAcentral lists this ribosomal RNA (1012 nucleotides) under Acinetobacter nosocomialis. RNAcentral describes it as "bacterial SSU rRNA". It matches the Rfam family "Bacterial small subunit ribosomal RNA", at positions 56 to 1062 of the family's 1533-position model. The record is from RNAcentral. Lineage: Bacteria; Pseudomonadati; Pseudomonadota; Gammaproteobacteria; Moraxellales; Moraxellaceae.